AAAAAUCUAGUUUAAUAAAAACGUUUAGUUGCAAACUAAGAAAUUUUUUGAUUUUUU
RNAcentral lists this transfer RNA (57 nucleotides) under Bathyomphalus contortus. RNAcentral describes it as "tRNA-Cys". The record is from RNAcentral. Lineage: Eukaryota; Metazoa; Mollusca; Gastropoda; Planorbidae.